CGCGGGGUGGAGCAACCUGGUAGCUCGUCGGGCUCAUAACCCGAAGGUCGUCGGUUCAAAUCCGGCCCCCGCAACCA
This 77-nucleotide transfer RNA is filed under the name Pantoea agglomerans. RNAcentral's name for it is "tRNA-Met". It matches the Rfam family "tRNA". Rfam says of the family: Transfer RNA (tRNA) molecules are approximately 80 nucleotides in length. Their secondary structure includes four short double-helical elements and three loops (D, anti-codon, and T loops). The record is from RNAcentral. Lineage: Bacteria; Pseudomonadati; Pseudomonadota; Gammaproteobacteria; Enterobacterales; Erwiniaceae. RNAcentral also lists the same sequence under 11 other names.